UAUCAGUUUAUAGAAAUGGGGGUCCAGAGGUUAAGCAGGAACCCCAAUGUCACACAACUUGUAAGUGGGGGAGUCAGCAUUCGCACCCACGACUCACUCCGCAGCCACCUUCCGGCUCUAUCAGGGAGUGUUCCGAACCACCACUCUGGCCCUGUGUCCGCGGCUGAGGACACACUUUCUCACCAAAUCCAGGGCAGCCUCGGUGCUCUUCUACAUAUAGUCGGUCACUCUGGAUCUGCAGGGUGGGUGUGCCAACCAAGCCUGUGGGCUAUCCCAGCACCAUUCCAGCUGCCUUCCCAUCGGCCAUCAUGGGCUCUUUGUGCUGACUCAGGUGUGUCUUAGGGCCCAGCUCCCCCUGCAAUGCUGACGCUGGGCUCAGGUAGGCAGUGCCAGGUGUAUGACAGGAUUCCUGGGAAGGUUUAUCAUUGAUGCGGGGCAUUUUUUCAUUAGCGGUGCGUACAUUUGAGUCAGUCAUUCCCCUCUCCUCUGUUAAACGUUAGUUCCUCUGGGAUCGGUGACAUCCAUACUUUACUGCAAAUUUAUUUUCUGGGUCACUUUUUCUGUGUCCAGUUUUUUCUUUUCCAGUUGUCUGGGGACAUUGGCUGAAACCCAAAGCCUAGAACAAUAGGUGAUCUCCCUUGCCCCCCUCCCCAACUUCCUCACCCCCUCACCUCCACCAACCCACACAUUUUAAAGAGAGAUGCUAGACCAUCCGUGACGAGCUUGCUAAGAAGUAUUCAAACCGGUCCUGCAACUUCUGGUCUUAGCACAUCACCCACCUCCAACCUAGAUCUAAGAGAAGUCUAAAGAAUGUUCAGAGAGCUGAGGAUUUCUUUAAUGAGAAGGAAGGUGCAGCCAAACCCCAUGUGGCUUCGUUAAACUAUUUCUUGGGCAUGGCAUAAUUUCCAUAGUUUGUUGGGCCAGGGCCGGAAUGUUUCCUUGGGGUCCGAGGUGACAUGACUGACACCUUGGGAGAUAGCUAGGCUCGAGGGUCUUGAAAGCUCCCCAACUCAAGAUUUCUGCCUGCUCAGGAAGGGACAUCCCAGUACAAAGUGCCUCUGUGGGCUGAACUUUCAAGCAGGAGCUAAGGGAUGUUUGUAGAAAGUUAGCUGCAGAGGGCAUCACCCAUGUCGCCUGGAUCAGAGAAUGGGGCAGUGCUGCGGGAUCCUCAGCAAGGGGUCUUCAGGAACCCACUCAAGACCCCCUUGAAGAAUAGGGGAAAAGUCUGCCUGUAGACAACUGAGUCUGUGCUCUCAGCAGACCCACGCUCGCCCUCCCCAGAGCAGGUUCCUGCCCUGAGUCUCCUGUGGCAGCUGCAGAUGUCAGGAAAGGCAGCCCUUCCCAGGACCCAACCUCAGGAGGGCCCUGGCCCUAGGGCUCCCUGGAGUGUCUCUAUGGGGAACCAUCCUUUCCUCAUCAUGUAGGGAACUCAUGCCUAGCAUGGUGUCUGGCACACAGAAGACUUUCGACAGAUGUUUGGAUAAAUUCAGCAACUUGUUCAAAUCACAGAUCUAGCAAGGGGCAAAGUGACCAGUGGCCCCCCAAAUACAUCUAGGUCUUAAUCCCUGCAACCUGUGAAUGUCACUUUCCUAAUAUGGCAAAAAGGGCUUUGUCAUAAUCCAGAUGUGAUUAAGUUAAAUUUAAUCCAGAUGUGGUUAAGGAUCUCAAGAUAGGAAGAGUAGCCACGAUUAUCCAGGUGGGCUCCAAAUGCAAUCACAUGUAUCCUUUUAAGGGGAAGGCAGAGGGAAAUUUGACACACAGAAAAGAGAAGGCGAUGUGACCAGAAGGUGGAGAUUGGAGUGAUGCGGUCACAAGCCAGUGAGUGCCACCGGAAGCUGGAAGAGGCGAGAUGAUGGAUUCUUUCCUUCCUUCGAGGCUCUGGACAGAGUGCCACCUUCUCAAUUCCUUGAUUCCAGCCCAGGGACACAGAUUUCAGAACUUUGGUUUCCAGAACCACAAGAGAAUAAAUUUCUAUUGUUUGAAACGACCCAGUUUACGGCAAUUCGAUACGGCAGCCACAGGAAAUUGAUACACCAGGUUUGGGCGAUGGCCCAGGAACACCUUAGAGUCUGCAGUCCUCUGGCCUCUGCCACCUAGAAGGUCAAGAAGGGGUUCCUACGGGCCCCUGUGCCUGCAGCAGAGACAGAGGAGGAGGUGGAGAUGCACUGGGGUUGGUCUGAAAGAAGAGUUUUAAAAAACAGUCUAUAGACUCCCAGGAAUCAGAAGUUGAAAGCCAUCCAUCCAGAAACGCUUAUUAUGCACGUGCUGUGUGGCAGACCUGCUGGGACUACAGAUUUAAGAAGACUUGGAAUUGGGUGUGGGUGGAUUCAUGCUGUUGAGGAUGAGGCGAGGGGGUCCCGGGACUGGGCUGCGGGCUGGAGCUGCGGGGGCGGAGGAAGCCCGAGGCCUGUCCUGCUGGCCCUGCUAAGGGGGCAGGUGCCUGGCCAGGAAGGGCCUGGAAUCUCCUUCACCUGAAAGCAGACGCAAGGAGUGUGCGUCCCAAGGUGGGUGUUUGGUUCAGGUUUCUCAGGAAGUCAAGGCAGUGGUGGUGGAGGAAAGUGGCCUGGAGUCCUGUCUGACCUGGAAGGAAGUGCACGGGGUGAAGCGUGGAGAGGCCAACCUCCAGGGGGACUGUGAGGCCUGCAGCCAAGGUGUGGGGAGCAGGGGAAACAGGCGGAGGCUGCCAGCCACGGAGCUCAUGGCCCGUGUCUCCAGGGACAGAGACGGGGCUCCUGGAGCUGUGGUUUGGGGUCACUUUUGGGUCUGCUUGGCCCGAGGGAAGGGAGUGCUGCCCCUGCAGACAGAGGGACCUCUGGGCCUUGCCACUACUGCUGGGCGUUGACCUUGGGCCUGAGGGUUUGUGGACCUUGGUUGUCACGUGACACUGCAACCUGGGGCUGAGAAUGUACGUGACCUCUUCUGGGAGGCCGUCCGUGGGCACACCGGACUGGAGGGCUCCACUGGCCCAACUCACAUGAUUGGCCGAGAGGGGCCACGACAGCAUCUUCAAUUUUAUGGAAGAAACAGAGCUCAAGGAAGAGGGAGGGCGUCCUACCAAAUCAGGAAGAGACAAAAAGGGGGAGGUUAGCCAGGAAGGGGGGGGGGGGCUGGGAUACUGGUCAGCGCCCAGUAGCUGGAACAUUCCAGCACUUUCCUGAAAGAGAGCUCCCUCAGGGAGAGAAGUUUCAUUCUGUUCAGUUUUUGAGGGGGGCACUUUGAGAGCGUGACAUGGUGAAGACAGUCCCUGCUUCUGUGGUGGUGGGGCUCUCAGCCUCUCCUCUUUUCUCGUCUCUCAGCUUCUCUUUGUCUUUUUUCCCUUCCUGUCUCCUCUCCCUUCUCCCCUUUUCUUCUCCCAUCCUUUCUUUGUGAAUGGCUCCUAGACUCUUCCUGUCUCUCUUUCUGUCCCGUGCUGUGUCUGCAUCGAUCACAGCCCCCUGAACACACACACCCAUUCACACACA
Long non-coding RNA from Aethalodelphis obliquidens (Pacific white-sided dolphin), 3461 nucleotides. RefSeq lists it as uncharacterized. Lineage: Eukaryota; Metazoa; Chordata; Mammalia; Artiodactyla; Delphinidae. The record is from RefSeq and is a predicted model, not a curated record. The transcript is spliced from 3 exons.